AAAUUAUUUCUUCGUGUAUAUUUAAUUACUUUUCAAUUUAUUCUCAACCAUCCACAAAACGCUUCCUUCUCUCGAAAUUCCACUCUAUUCUCGAACCCAACUACAGCAAACUAUUACUCAAACUAUUCCUCCCUAUAUCCAACCUGUCCAAGCUCAUACAUGUCUCUUCGUUCGAACGUAUUUGAGAACGCAUCUGCCCCGCCUCGAAUAACGUCAACCCACGUGUGUUUGUGUGUGUAACAUCAAUAUUAGCACGCGCAUAUUCGCGAUUCGCAUUUGUUUGAACCACCGCGACUUGCACGCGUUUCUCCGUUCUCUUCUGGCAUUGUCUUUGCGCCCAUGCUUUUCAUCAUAUUCCAGUGAUGAACGUGUAUACGUUUACAUAUAUACAGUGUGUCUUGCAAUUUUCAGUGGAAAAGAACUAUAUCGUAUUAGCCAAUCAGAAAGCAACUUAGAAAAAUAGGUGCGUAUGCAGCGAGCCAUGUCAGUUAUUAUUGAAAAUCAUGGAGGCUGGGUGUGUUUCAUCGAAAUAGAUUAUUCUUCAAUUGCUUGUGCAAUAUCGAAACAAUCGUAACAAUUAACAAUCAUGAUUUUUAUACAAAUAUCUCAGAAUAAAUUUCAAGAUGGACGAG
RNAcentral lists this long non-coding RNA (632 nucleotides) under Apis dorsata (giant honeybee). RNAcentral describes it as "uncharacterized LOC102672326, transcript variant X1". The record is from RNAcentral. Lineage: Eukaryota; Metazoa; Arthropoda; Insecta; Hymenoptera; Apidae.